CCCCACUCCACCCACCACUGUUUGUCUAAAAAAACACCCAACCCUCGAUCCAGAUCCCCUUCUCCCUUCUCCCGAUUCACCCCUCGUCUCCCUCCCAUUCCACGCCGCCGCCGCCGCCCACGACCCUCGACGACCUCCCCACCGGCGCCGAGAAAACAGAGUCACCUCUUCUUCUCCUCCCAAAUCCUCCCGCUCCCCCUGCACAUUUCUGCAUGUCCCCGCUCCCUCCCUCGCUCCACCACGGCGGCCUCCCCCGCCGGCGGAUCUGGGACUGGGAGACGCAGCUGCGCUAGUGGCGGUCGGUUGGUUGGUGGCGGACCGGCAGAGCCUCAGUGACCAUCGAUUGGAGGCAAGGGGAUUGAGGGCGGGGAGUCGACGGCGAAAACAGAGGGCGGAGAUCCAUCGGUGGCCAGCAGCAGCAGCUCAGGUUUUUUGUUUUCGUCACUCCUUUGUUAUAUGGAAGAAGACUUCAUGGCACUCAGGAAGGUGCCAAGGAGAUGCUGGACCAAGGCAUGGAGGCAUUGCGAGCUGAAGAGCACAUAACUGCAGAUGCUGGAGGCCGGGCCGGUGAGCCGAGGAUUGGAGGUAGCGCUGAUUGGUGUUUUUAUGGAGAGAUAAGAUGCCGCUGUUUGGUGUUUUUAUGCAUUUUGGUUUGCUUGUAACUGUGUUUGCACUAGCUGUGAGUAAGUGACUUGGCAAGAAGUGUAGAUGUUUUAAUUGAAGGCAUGAAAAGCCAUGACAAUAUGUAUGCUCUUACAUGAUGUGCUAUAAUGCCGCUGGUUUAUUAUAAAUCUUGGAUUAGUAAUGAUGCGUAAUG
Molecule: long non-coding RNA, 817 nt
Organism: Triticum aestivum (bread wheat)
Lineage: Eukaryota; Viridiplantae; Streptophyta; Magnoliopsida; Poales; Poaceae
Exons: 3
Source: RefSeq, a predicted model, not a curated record